Molecule: ribosomal RNA, 426 nt
Filed under: uncultured bacterium
Lineage: Bacteria
Description: bacterial SSU rRNA
Rfam family: Bacterial small subunit ribosomal RNA
Source: RNAcentral
AAAGCGGGAGCUUGCUCCUGCUGGAUUAGUGGCGAACGGGUGAGUAACACGUGAGUAACCUGCCCUUGACUCUGGGAUAAGCGUUGGAAACGACGUCUAAUACCGGAUACGACCUUCGGAGGCAUCUCCUGGGGGGUGGAAAGAAUUCCGGUCAAGGAUGGACUCGCGGCCUAUCAGCUAGUUGGUGAGGUAAUGGCUCACCAAGGCGACACGGGUAGCCGGCCUGAGAGGGUGACCGGCCACACUGGGACUGAGACACGGCCCAGACUCCUACGGGAGGCAGCAGUGGGGAAUAUUGCACAAUGGGCGCAAGCCUGAUGCAGCAACGCCGCGUGAGGGACGACGGCCUUCGGGUUGUAAACCUCUUUUAGUAGGGAAGAAGCGAAAGUGACGGUACCUGCAGAAAAAGCACCGGCUAACUACGUG